GAAGCAAAGGAUAUAUUCCAAGCAACUACGUAACAGGAAAGAAGUCCAAUAGUCUAGACCAGUAUGAAUGGUAUUGUAGAAAUCUGAACAGAAGCAAAGCUGAACAGCUCCUCAGAAAUGAGGAUAAAGAAGGUGGUUUUAUGGUGAGGGACUCCAGUCAGCCGGGUUACUAUACAGUAUCGCUUUACGCAAAAUUUGGAGGAGAAGGGCUAUCCGGAAUAAGACACUAUCAUAUAAAGGAAACACCACAAAACCAGUACUACCUGGCAGAAAAACACCUGUUUAGCUCCAUUCCUGAAUUAAUUGAUUAUCACAAACACAAUGCC
Molecule: non-coding RNA, 326 nt
Organism: Anolis sagrei ordinatus
Lineage: Eukaryota; Metazoa; Chordata; Lepidosauria; Squamata; Anolidae
Source: RefSeq, a predicted model, not a curated record